AGCGAACGCUGGCGGCAGGCUUAACACAUGCAAGUCGAACGCCCCGCAAGGGGAGUGGCAGACGGGUGAGUAACACGUGGGAACGUACCCUUUGGUUCGGAAUAACUUGGGGAAACUCAAGCUAAUACCGGAUAAGCCCUUAUGGGGAAAGGUUUACUGCCGAAGGAUCGGCCCGCGUCUGAUUAGCUAGUUGGUGAGGUAAUGGCUCACCAAGGCGACGAUCAGUAGCUGGUCUGAGAGGAUGAUCAGCCACACUGGGACUGAGACACGGCCCAGACUCCUACGGGAGGCGGCAGUGGGGAAUAUUGGACAAUGGGGGCAACCUUGAUCCAGCCAUGCCGCGUGAGUGAUGAAGGCCUUAGGGUUGUAAAGCUCUUUUACCCGGGACGAUAAUGACUGUACCGGGAGAGUAAGCCCCGGCUAACUUCGUGCCAGCCGCCGCGGUAA
This 447-nucleotide ribosomal RNA is filed under the name uncultured bacterium. Its description in RNAcentral is "partial 16S ribosomal RNA". It matches the Rfam family "Bacterial small subunit ribosomal RNA", at positions 29 to 523 of the family's 1533-position model. The record is from RNAcentral.